This 773-nucleotide ribosomal RNA is filed under the name uncultured bacterium. RNAcentral describes it as "bacterial SSU rRNA". It matches the Rfam family "Bacterial small subunit ribosomal RNA", at positions 8 to 796 of the family's 1533-position model. The record is from RNAcentral.
AGAGUUUGAUCAUGGCUCAGGACGAACGCUGGCGGCGUGCUUAACACAUGCAAGUCGAGCGCACUUGCCUUUGGGUGGGUGAGCGGCGAACGGGUGAGUAACACGUGGGUGACCUGCCCUUCACUCUGGGAUAAGCCUGGGAAACUGGGUCUAAUACCGGAUAUUCACUUUUCCUCGCAUGGGGGUUGGUGGAAAGUUUUUUCGGUGGGGGAUGGGCCCGCGGCCUAUCAGCUUGUUGGUGGGGUGAUGGCCUACCAAGGCGACGACGGGUAGCCGGCCUGAGAGGGCGACCGGCCACACUGGGACUGAGACACGGCCCAGACUCCUACGGGAGGCAGCAGUGGGGAAUAUUGCGCAAUGGGCGGAAGCCUGACGCAGCGACGCCGCGUGGGGGAUGACGGCCUUCGGGUUGUAAACCUCUUUCGACCUCGACGAAGCUUUCGGGUGACGGUAGGGGUAGAAGAAGCACCGGCCAACUACGUGCCAGCAGCCGCGGUAAUACGUAGGGUGCGAGCGUUGUCCGGAAUUAUUGGGCGUAAAGAGCUCGUAGGCGGUCUGUCGCGUCGGUCGUGAAAACCUGCAGCUUAACUGUGGGCUUGCGGUCGAUACGGGCAUGACUGGAGUUCGGCAGGGGAGACUGGAAUUCCUGGUGUAGCGGUGAAAUGCGCAGAUAUCAGGAGGAACACCGGUGGCGAAGGCGGGUCUCUGGGCCGAUACUGACGCUGAGGAGCGAAAGCGUGGGGAGCGAACAGGAUUAGAUACCCUAGUAGUCC